GGACGAACGCUGGCGGCGUGCCUAACACAUGCAAGUCGAGCGAGGAGAUUCCUUCGGGAUGAUCCUAGCGGCGGACGGGUGAGUAACACGUGGGCAACCUGCCUCAUAGAGAGGAAUAGCCUUCCGAAAGGGAGAUUAAUACCUCAUAACAUUGCAGUUUCGCAUGGAACAGCAAUUAAAGGAGUAAUCCGCUAUGAGAUGGGCCCGCGGCGCAUUAGCUAGUUGGUGAGGUAACGGCUCACCAAGGCGACGAUGCGUAGCCGACCUGAGAGGGUGAUCGGCCACAUUGGGACUGAGACACGGCCCAGACUCCUACGGGAGGCAGCAGUGGGGAAUAUUGCACAAUGGGGGAAACCCUGAUGCCAGCAACGCCGCGUGAGUGAUGACGGCCUUCGGGUUGUAAAGCUCUGUCUUCAGGGACGAUAAUGACGGUACCUGAGGAGGAAGCCACGGCUAACUACGUGCCAGCCGCCGC
RNAcentral lists this ribosomal RNA (475 nucleotides) under uncultured bacterium. RNAcentral's name for it is "bacterial SSU rRNA". It matches the Rfam family "Bacterial small subunit ribosomal RNA", at positions 27 to 518 of the family's 1533-position model. The record is from RNAcentral.